CGGGUGCACUGAUCCGGCCGGGCCUUUCCCUCUGUGGAACCCCAUGGCCUUCACUGGCUGUGCGAGGGAAACAGGACUUUUACUGUGAAAAAAUUAGAGUGCUCCAGGCAGGCCUAUGCUCGAAUACAUUAGCAUGGAAUAAUAGAAUAGGACGCGUGGUUCUAUUUUGUUGGUUUCUAGGACCGCCGUAAUGAUUAAUAGGGACAGUCGGGGGCAUCAGUAUUCAAUUGUCAGAGGUGAAAUUCUUGGAUCUAUUGAAGACUAACUACUGCGAAAGCAUUUGCCAAGGAUGUUUUCAUUGAUAAGGAACGAAAGUUAGGGGAUCGAAGACGAUCAGAUACCGUCGUAGUCUUAACUAUAAACUAUGCCGACUAGGGAUCGGACGAUGUUAUUUCUUGACGCGUUCGGCACCUUUCGAGAAAUCAAAGUGCUUGGGCUCCAGGGGGAGUAUGGUCGCAAGGCUGAAACUUAAAGAAAUUGACGGAAGGGCACCACCAGGGGUGGAACCUGCGGCUUAAUUUGACUCAACACGGGGAAACUCACCAGGUCCAGACACAGUGAGGAUUGACAGAUUGAGAGCUCUUUCUUGAUUCUGUGGGUGGUGGUGCAUGGCCGUUCUUAGUUGGUGGAGUGAUUUGUCUGCUUAAUUGCGAUAACGAACGAGACCUUAACCUGCUAAAUAGCCCGUACUGCUCUGGCAGUUCGCCGGCUUCUUAGAGGGACUAUCGG
RNAcentral lists this ribosomal RNA (729 nucleotides) under uncultured eukaryote. RNAcentral describes it as "SSU rRNA". It matches the Rfam family "Eukaryotic small subunit ribosomal RNA", at positions 670 to 1426 of the family's 1831-position model. The record is from RNAcentral.